RNAcentral lists this ribosomal RNA (253 nucleotides) under uncultured bacterium. RNAcentral describes it as "partial 16S ribosomal RNA". It matches the Rfam family "Bacterial small subunit ribosomal RNA", at positions 524 to 776 of the family's 1533-position model. The record is from RNAcentral.
UACGUAGGGUGCAAGCGUUGUCCGGAAUUAUUGGGCGUAAAGAGCUCGUAGGCGGCCUGUUGCGUCCGCUGUGAAAUCCCGGGGCUUAACCCCGGGCGUGCAGUGGAUACGGGCUGGCUGGAGGCAGGCAGGGGAGAACGGAAUUCCCGGUGUAGCGGUGAAAUGCGCAGAUAUCAGGAGGAACACCGGUGGUGUAAACGGCUUUCUGGACCAUAACUGACGCUGAGGCACGAAAGCGUGGGUAGCAAACAGG